Amborella trichopoda is the source of this 1584-nucleotide non-coding RNA. The record is from RefSeq and is a predicted model, not a curated record. NCBI's taxonomy places the organism in Eukaryota, Viridiplantae, Streptophyta, Magnoliopsida, Amborellales, Amborellaceae.
AUCAUAAAAACCCACACCAUAGCUGAGACCAUGCUUUCUCUCUCUAAGCGUUAACAUCAAAACUUUCUCUCUCUAAAGAAGGAGGGAAACAGUGAGGAGUGAGAACAGAUGCCUGAACUCGCACUGAGCUCUUUCCUUUUUUUGCUAUUAUUGUUAUUCUUCCUCUUUUUCGAUCCUCUCUCUGCAACUCAUUUGCCAUUUUCUAGAGACAGAAGGCUCGGACGAAGCAUUCAUGGCCAUGUUUCGUUGCUUGAAGAGAAUAUGGUUUCAGAAGGGAGUGCAGAGCUCUGCAACAUCUUCAAUGGAAGGUGGGUUUUUGAUGAGAGUUACCCUCUCUACUCCUCUCAGAGUUGCCCAUAUAUCAGCUCAAGGGUGAACUGUAAGUAUAAUGGAAGGCCAGAUUCAGAUUACCAGAAGUGGCGAUGGCAACCUGACACUUGCAACGUGCCAAGGUUUGAUGGUGAAAAGUUGCUGGAGGGGUUGAGGGGGAAGAGGUUGAUGAUAGUUGGGGAUUCAUUGGACAGGAGCAUGUGGGAAUCCUUGGUUUGCAUGCUCCUUUCUUACUCCCCAGACAUCACCAAAUCCAUUCAGCUCAAUUACCCCUUCAAUGUCUUUAGAGCCCUGGAGUACAAUGCCAGUGUAGAAUUCUUUUGGGCUCCGUUUCUAGUUGAUUUGGACAUGGAACUGGUUCUCGGCCAGCCCAAGAGAGUUCUCAAACCCUAUGAAAUCGAAGGAAAUGCCCAAGCAUGGAGAGGUGUCGACAUUCUCAUCUUCAAUUCUGCUCAUUACUGGACACAUCUUGGUGGUCUCAAAUCAUGGGAUUACAUAGAGUAUGAGAAUGGACUAUAUGAAGACCUAGACAGGAUGUUUAUAUACCAAAAAGGCAUGGAAACUUGGGCAAGCUGGAUUGACUCUAAUCUGGAUCCACAAAAAACCAGAGUCUUCUUCAGGAGCAUUUCUCCUAUUCACACAGACCCAAGUCAAUGGGACGAACCAAAUGGGAAUCGGUGUGUGAAUGAGACCGAGCCAAUUACACAGGAUGCGUUCUUGAGCCCGAUCCCUCCUCAAAUGACCAUCAUCGAGACUGUUUUGAAACAGAUGAAAUUUCCAGUCUAUUUCUUCAAUAUCACAAGGCUUUCGGAUUAUAGGAAGGAUGCUCACCCUUCUGUGUACACCUCAGGUGAUGGAGAAAUGAGAUAUGGAAGUGCUAGCCCCGCUGAUUGCAGCCAUUGGUGUGUCUCUGGGGUGCCAGAUAUCUGGAAUGAGCUGCUCGCGUUUCUUCUUCUCUACUGAAUUUUCUGCGACUCUCUCUCUCUCUGUGGUAGCUCUACUGAGUUGCAGCCAAAGUUCGUCUGCCUCCGUUGAUGCUUGCGCUAAACUCCGAUAUGUUUACCUAUGAUUAGUUCUAGAUGGAUGAGUAUGCUCUAUACAUUUUGAUGAAAGCAAAAAGCUAUAGGGCAUGGCAGAAAAUAAAAACAGGGGUCUAUUGAGCAUCCCAUAUUGCAUGACUCCACCCUGGUUCUUUAUGGAUUUAGGAUAGGAAAUAAUUUUGGGACCAAUCGAAAUGUACCUUCACUUUGUAUU